AAUGGAAGUGCGUGCUAGGCAGCUACAAACAGCAGAUACUGAUGCCAGGCCUGGGCCCCUCUGUUCAGAGUUGCCCUGCACCAGUGCACAUGUUAGUCCUGGAUAACUGGGAACUCAAAACAAGACGGCUGUCACUCACCAGAAGCUCAAACCCAGGGAGGAGGACAAGCCUUGAAAUGAGCCAGCUCUCCACUUUCCAGAAGCCCAGCUCCCUUUACCCCCACAACCAGGAGGUUCGGGCCUCAGUGCCUCCUGGACAGAGCAGAUCCGCCCUGGGGCAACUGUUGGGUCAAAACUGGAACAUUCAUCUUUAACUUACCCAUGUAAUGAUCUCAAGCCUGCCUACCACCACCUGCAUGCUACCUGCUACAUGUGAACUGUCUGUCCCUCAGUCACAGCAUUUUUCCAGUCACAGAAGCUAUUCAUUCAGGCAUUCAUCUAUCAGGUA
RNAcentral lists this long non-coding RNA (448 nucleotides) under Bos mutus (wild yak). Its description in RNAcentral is "lncRNA (ENSBMUG00000026056.1)". Lineage: Eukaryota; Metazoa; Chordata; Mammalia; Artiodactyla; Bovidae. The record is from RNAcentral.